AUCGUAACGGUAGCCAAUUUACCAUUUCAACUUUGAUGAUAUAUUCAAAUUAUCUGUUUAUAUACGACGCGUAUGGUGUUAGAUGUUAACCCUUUACAGCCAAGCAUCAGAAUGCAUAUUCUCUAUACUGUUCUCUAAACACUUCCUAAGGUGCUGACAAGGAGAAUUUGUUUGACAAUCAAGAGCUGUUUUAGUUCAUGAUCAUUUCGUUUAUUCUCAUGACCUUAAAGUUUGAUUCAACAGUGAUACUAUAAGAAAAAGGAUGCUAGAUUUUUAGGGCUACUAAAUUUAAUGUUAAUAUAAAUAAGGAAAGGUUAAUAGAGUUAAAGAGUUGAAGGAGUUUAGUCUCUCAGAUCUGUGGAAAAUUUUAAACUCGGUUUUUUGUGCCACAAGAGCAAGAUCAUCAGAAACAACAACAACACAAAAAAAAACAAAGUUUACAGAAUGACCGCUGAUUACUGGCGCUGCAUGCGAUGAAACACGCACCUGGCACAAAAUGAAGGGUAGACUGGGAGACUACGAGUUACGAGCCCGGAGCUGUGGGAGUGAGGCGCUCGAAAAGUUGGUGCGCCUCACUCCCACAGUUCUAAGCACCACGCUAACAUCUUGGAAACAUUUGCAAUCAAAGGCAAGCGCGAGAAACGCGAGGAGAGCAAGAAUUAGCCUUUCAUGUAACUGCUUUAAAAAUUUGUCUUGGGUUCAAAUGUGUUAGAACCCAAUGCAUUACUCUGUAAAGCAAGAGAGAACCUAAAAUAUUUUUGUGCGCCUUUCCACGAGUAAAAACAAAUUUUGCCUCAUAAACUAUACGGCAAAGAGCAUAAUAUCGAAGACAAAUCUGCACGCGCGCAACGCAAGGCCUGACGGUCUUUGCUGUAAUCCACACGUAACAAUUAUAAUAAAGUCAUUGUUUGACGUUCGAAGGUUCAAACUGACACUUCGCACUACAAGUGAGAUUUGUUAGCGUGCUGAAUUGAGCCAGUGGGGAACAGAGAUAUUUUUGCAUAUUGCAAGCAUUGUAAUUGUGGUUGCUACGUGUGGGGUACACUUGAAAUGAUUGAGGUCGAGAAUGUUGACUUCCUCUUGCCAAAAUGGUUCCCUUCCGCCAGUCUUCGAGCUGUGGAAAAACGCGCAGAAGACCUUCAAUGCCAAGUCUUGGGAAGAAUUCGACGAUUCAAAGAUUUUGCGAAAAGACACCCAGUAAUUGCGAUGUUCUUGGCUUUUGUAUCAUUCCUUGGUUUCUUUCCAAUCUUCCUUUUCCUGACGUUUCUUUCCGUCUCGCUCAUCGUCAUCUUCACCACUGCAUCAGCAGUAUUCCUUGGAGUAAUCUUUGUGUCUACGAUCCCUUUCCUUUCAGUUCUGAUCUCCGUUCUCGCCGUCGUAGGCACUACAGUCUUGUUUAUCUACUUUGCAUGCCGUUCUUCCGUUAAGAUACUCCAAGUUUUACCGCGAUGGAAAAAAAUGGUGUUGCUUCUACCGUCACAACUUGUUGGGGUUUGGUUUAGAAAAUGCCCAUCCGUUUCAGAAAGAUUUGAUUUCUACGACGACUUUGUUCCCACGGACGAAGAAUUAUUUGACGAAGAAUUUUAUUAUGGCUCAGAUUCUGAAUGAUUUUCGUAAAUAACGGUUUUUAAUGUCUCGUAGUUUUAGAUAGAUAUUAUUGCUUUCCGUGUAACGCGUUGACCUACAGGCGUUCUAAUUUCUCGUUAGACAAAAAAAAUCUAAAAACGGUUUUAAAGACAAAUAAGAAAAAAAAUAUAAAAUUAACAAUAAUUUUCUGACAAUUGAUUCAAAUAUCUUUAAAUAUCAAUCACAUAUUAACAGUACUAUUUUCAACACAGUCAAAGAUGUUUCAUGUCUGAUAGACUUAAGUAAAAUUUAUCACUGAAUUCCAAAAUUCUUAAAAAAAAGAAAUGAAAACAAAAAGCAGAUUUACAAAUUUGUCAAAAGCUGAAAUUGCACCAUGAGGUUACUCACUCUUUCAUGUACAUUUGGAUGCACGAAGAACAGUUGAAAGAAAGAAAUUUGUUCUAACCAAAGUCUUUAAAUUGUUUACUGUAUGAUGUUGAAUAAAAAUUUGCAGUUUACGAGUA
This is a long non-coding RNA of Stylophora pistillata, 2090 nucleotides long. Lineage: Eukaryota; Metazoa; Cnidaria; Anthozoa; Scleractinia; Pocilloporidae. The record is from RefSeq and is a predicted model, not a curated record.